GAGAAUUCUGGGGGCCGUGGGGCCGCCCAGCUCAGUCCGGAGCUCCGGAACUCGGGGAAGAGCGUCCGGGAGCCGGGUCUGGGUUCCGCACUCCGUCCGCCCCGAUGGCAGAGAGUGAGAUACGGACGCCCCGGGACGAGGGGCUCAGGACCCGGCUACGGACACCUGCCUCCAUCUCCCUCCAGAUAACACAAGUGUGAAGAGAGGGGAGAGCAGCAAAGGCUGAGCUGCGUGUGCCUGGUCCCUUCCAGACUUUCCAGAUAACUUUGCCCCACGGAGGACAAGGAAAGCCAAAAGAGAGAAGCCAGGAUUGUUAGUCUUGGAAAAUGCCUCCAUAUAGAAACAUGAGCCGGAGAAUAAAUCACUUGCCUCUCUAACCAGUUGGAUUUGGUCCGUGAGUUCCUAGUUUUGUUCACCUGACUUAGUCCCUGACUUUUAAAGUCAAGUGCAUCAACAUGCUGCCAGUACUUUGAUGAACAUCUAUACAGGAUCCAUCUCUACAGCAGUGAAUUCCACCUGGGGUAAAGUAUGCAUGUAGGUUAGGAUGCUACAGUGGGACUCUGUCUGCUUUUUCUGUCUGUUUCUGCUAAGGCCUCCACACAUUAGAUGGUCAGUACUCUUUGUUCUAUGGGAAGGGCUAGAAUACCUAAACAGGACUUUCACGGAGGGAGCAACAAACCAGUUUUGUGGCUCUCAGCAAACAUCCAUCUCAAAGUUUCUUCCUCAGAUUGACAUUCCUCUUGGUCACCAGAUGCCUACAAUCAGCGGGUGCAACUCUCUGCUCCCUGCUCACUUCUGAAGGGGAGAGCAUGGAUACCAACCACAGAACAAAGCCCUGCAGUCUCCCGCUGAGUAGAACACCCACGAAGAAGUGUUGGCCAUUUCCCUAUUGCCAGGGAAAUAUCAUGUAUUGGUUGGAUUAGGCCUGUAUUAAUCCAGUUAAUGGAACAUAGUUAAACUAUCCCAGACCCUCCAUAGACACUAGAGAAAAGGUGAAUCCAACCCAAAUGUAAGACUGCUACUCAAUAGGACAGAAAAGGCAUGGAUGUCAGUGAAAUGGGAAAAAAAAUGUGUGCCAAAGGAGAUCAGGAAGGACUGAAUAGAAGACAUGGCCUUUGAAUUGAAGCCUUUAAUGAGGAAAGGGGAUUGACAUUGUAUGAGGGCCAGGGUGGAGAGCGGGUUGUGAAGAGGAUAGGGAAAAUGCAAGGACACUGCGGAUAUAAGAAUUAAUGGGAGAAUCAUGGGCCACAAAGCAGCAGGAUUAUAUUACAGAGAUUGUAAGUAGUGUUUAUUGAAGCACAGGGUACUGGGGAGGUGGAGGAAAGAUGAAACUGUUAAGGAAUUUAGACACAGCAUGUAGUGGUUGGCAGGAAACAGAUGACACUCUCAAACAGGGUAGUUGAGGAGAGCUAAUAAAGGGACCAUUUACCAAGGUGUAGUUAGGAUUAAGAGAAAGCAAACUGGGAUGGUGCUGUGCUAUGGGCUAGCAACAGCAGGAAGUCAUUUCUGUCCCUAGGUCUGAAGAGGGAAGCAGGGGAGCCAACACCAAGGAACCAGAGAUCUUAGAGUCUGAAAGUCUGCAUGAUAGAAGCCAUGGCCUUUAGUAGAGGGAUCUUGCCUACUCUUAGCAGCCUGGCUUGGAGGGGCCUGGGGAAAUAAUACCCCAACCUCUCUCCUCUUCUUCAAUAUUGAUGACUUCCAUUGGUUAAUAUCAAACUGGAAGUUGGAGAGAAAGGGAGUCUAUCUAUACAAGUCAGCACCCUGUAGCCCAGAAGAGAGUAAAAAGGGGGUAAAAAGCAAUUUCCGAGGGACAAACAGAAAACACCCAGCACAGAAGGAGGAACAAACAUUUGGAGGAACAAACAGAAAAUAUCAGAAAACAUUUUAAUCCUGGGUCCUGGGACGUCAUGGAAGGUUUUGAAGUUAGGAGCACCGCCAUCCUCUAGGGGGAGCUCAAGCAUUUCUCUCCACUCAUCCCAAAGGCGGUGCAUCAAAAGAUCAGGGUGAAACUGACUUCAAGGAAAGAGCCCUCGGCUAGAGGAAGAAGCCUGGAGAAGUAAAGGGAUUGCUCCUGGAAUUGGAAAUCUACCCUUUGCACUUCUAUUUACUGCAUUUGGAUUGAUUUGCAAGAAUAACCAU
This 2139-nucleotide long non-coding RNA is filed under the name Homo sapiens (human). RNAcentral's name for it is "POC1B antisense RNA 1". The record is from RNAcentral. Lineage: Eukaryota; Metazoa; Chordata; Mammalia; Primates; Hominidae.